RNAcentral lists this ribosomal RNA (1036 nucleotides) under marine bacterium AK13_024. Its description in RNAcentral is "bacterial SSU rRNA". It matches the Rfam family "Bacterial small subunit ribosomal RNA", at positions 66 to 1092 of the family's 1533-position model. The record is from RNAcentral.
GUUGUUUAACCUUCGGGGGACGACAACGGCGUCGAGCGGCGGACGGGUGAGUAAUGCCUGGGAAAUUGCCCUGAUGUGGGGGAUAACCAUUGGAAACGAUGGCUAAUACCGCAUGAUAGCUUCGGCUCAAAGAGGGGGACCUUCGGGCCUCUCGCGUCAGGAUAUGCCCAGGUGGGAUUAGCUAGUUGGUGAGGUAAGGGCUCACCAAGGCGACGAUCCCUAGCUGGUCUGAGAGGAUGAUCAGCCACACUGGAACUGAGACACGGUCCAGACUCCUACGGGAGGCAGCAGUGGGGAAUAUUGCACAAUGGGCGCAAGCCUGAUGCAGCCAUGCCGCGUGUAUGAAGAAGGCCUUCGGGUUGUAAAGUACUUUCAGCAGUGAGGAAGAUGGUGUGUUUAAUACGUACAUCAUUUGACGUUAGCUGCAGAAGAAGCACCGGCUAACUCCGUGCCAGCAGCCGCGGUAAUACGGAGGGUGCGAGCGUUAAUCGGAAUUACUGGGCGUAAAGCGCAUGCAGGUGGUUUGUUAAGUCAGAUGUGAAAGCCCGGGGCUCAACCUCGGAAUAGCAUUUGAAACUGGCAGACUAGAGUACUGUAGAGGGGGGUAGAAUUUCAGGUGUAGCGGUGAAAUGCGUAGAGAUCUGAAGGAAUACCGGUGGCGAAGGCGGCCCCCUGGACAGAUACUGACACUCAGAUGCGAAAGCGUGGGGAGCAAACAGGAUUAGAUACCCUGGUAGUCCACGCCGUAAACGAUGUCUACUUGGAGGUUGUGGCCUUGAGCCGUGGCUUUCGGAGCUAACGCGUUAAGUAGACCGCCUGGGGAGUACGGUCGCAAGAUUAAAACUCAAAUGAAUUGACGGGGGCCCGCACAAGCGGUGGAGCAUGUGGUUUAAUUCGAUGCAACGCGAAGAACCUUACCUACUCUUGACAUCCUCAGAAGAGACUGGAGACAGUCUUGUGCCUUCGGGAACUGAGAGACAGGUGCUGCAUGGCUGUCGUCAGCUCGUGUUGUGAAAUGUUGGGUUAAGUCCCGCAA